RNAcentral lists this ribosomal RNA (561 nucleotides) under uncultured fungus. RNAcentral's name for it is "eukaryotic LSU rRNA". The stretch from base 238 to 383 matches the Rfam family "5.8S ribosomal RNA". Lineage: Eukaryota; Fungi. The record is from RNAcentral.
CUUGGUCAUUUAGAGGAAGUAAAAGUCGUAACAAGGUUUCUGUAGGUGAACCUGCAGAAGGAUCAUUCUUGUAUACCUGGUCGGGCGUAAGCCUGGCCAAACCAUGUGUGAAACUGUGGACGUCUUCCUGGUGGGUGUCUCGGCACGCUGGGCUAUGCCCAGUAGCUGGGACAUCUGCUGGGGUACCUUUAACGAGGUAAACAUGUUAAUAGCAGGGAACUCAAAAGUAACAAUUACAACUUUUAACGAUGGAUCUCUUGGCUCUCACACCGAUGAAGAACGCAGCAAACUGCGAUAAGCAAUGCGAAACGCAGUUGUUCGUGAGUCAUCCGGUAUUCGAACGCACAUGGCAGGUCUUCGGACCUACGUCUGGUUGAGGGUCAUUUUGACUACUCUCGAGUGAUGUGGCAUGGCACACGCUAUGCUCAAAGGCAUGGUGCGCGGCUGCUUGGUGGACAAUCAAGUGGCCAUGCAGAGGCCGUACGUGGUACGGGCAUACAUGCGUGACCUCAACUCAGGCGAGACGACCCGCUGAACUUAAGCAUAUCAAUAAGCGGAGGA